This 468-nucleotide ribosomal RNA is filed under the name uncultured bacterium. RNAcentral describes it as "partial 16S ribosomal RNA". It matches the Rfam family "Bacterial small subunit ribosomal RNA", at positions 28 to 507 of the family's 1533-position model. The record is from RNAcentral.
GACGAACGCUGGCGGCGUGCUUAACACAUGCAAGUCGAACGGAAAGGCCCUGCUUUUGUGGGGUGCUCGAGUGGCGAACGGGUGAGUAACACGUGAGUAACCUGCCCUUGACUUUGGGAUAACUUCAGGAAACUGGGGCUAAUACCGGAUAGGAGCUCCUGCUGCAUGGUGGGGGUUGGAAAGUUUCGGCGUUGGGGGAUGGACUCGCGGCUUAUCAGCUUGUUGGUGGGGUAGUGGCUUACCAAGGCUUUGACGGGUAGCCGGCCUGAGAGGGUGACCGGCCACAUUGGGACUGAGAUACGGCCCAGACUCCUACGGGAGGCAGCAGUGGGGAAUAUUGCACAAUGGGCGGAAGCCUGAUGCAGCAACGCCGCGUGCGGGAUGACGGCCUUCGGGUUGUAAACCGCUUUCGCCUGUGACGAAGCGUGAGUGACGGUAAUGGGUAAAGAAGCACCGGCUAACUACGUG